GUCAGCGGGGAUAGCUCGUUUAACACACCAGUUCCCAAUGGGAUCACUCAAGUUGAGCAACGUACGCGUGGUUAGUAUCCGGAUAUGGAUGACCGCAUCAGGGCAAUCACGUGUUGCUGGCU
RNAcentral lists this ribosomal RNA (122 nucleotides) under Diaphorina citri (Asian citrus psyllid). The record is from RNAcentral. Lineage: Eukaryota; Metazoa; Arthropoda; Insecta; Hemiptera; Psyllidae.